RNAcentral lists this ribosomal RNA (253 nucleotides) under uncultured bacterium. Its description in RNAcentral is "partial 16S ribosomal RNA". It matches the Rfam family "Bacterial small subunit ribosomal RNA", at positions 524 to 776 of the family's 1533-position model. The record is from RNAcentral.
GACGUAGGAGGCGAGCGUUGUCCGGAAUCAUUGGGCGUAAAGAGCGCGUAGGCGGCUUGGCAAGUCGGGUGUGAAAUCCCGGGGCUCAACCCCGUGACUGCAUUCGAUACUGUCAGGCUAGAGGUAGGUAGGGGAGAUCGGAAUUCCUGGUGUAGCGGUGAAAUGCGCAGAUAUCAGGAGGAAUACCGAUGGCGAAGGCAGGUCUCUGGGCUGACACUGACGCUCAUGCACGAAAGCGUGGGGAGCAAACAGG